GAUGAACGCUGGCGGCGUGCUUAACACAUGCAAGUCGAACGAUGAAGCCCAUCUUGCUGGGUGGAUUAGUGGCGAACGGGUGAGUAACACGUGAGUAACCUGCCCUUGACUCUGGGAUACUCCUGGGAAACUGGGUCUAAUACUGGAUAUGACUUCUCAUCGCAUGGUGGGGGGUGGAAAGAUUUAUUGGUCUUGGAUGGACUCGCGGCCUAUCAGCUUGUUGGUGAGGUAAUGGCUCACCAAGGCGACGACGGGUAGCCGGCCUGAGAGGGUGACCGGCCACACUGGGACUGAGACACGGCCCAGACUCCUACGGGAGGCAGCAGUGGGGAAUAUUGCACAAUGGGCGAAAGCCUGAUGCAGCGACGCCGCGUGAGGGAUGACGGCCUUCGGGUUGUAAACCUCUUUCAGUAGGGAAGAAGCGAGAGUGACGGUACCAGCAGAAGAAGCGCCGGCUAACUACGUG
Molecule: ribosomal RNA, 466 nt
Filed under: uncultured bacterium
Lineage: Bacteria
Description: partial 16S ribosomal RNA
Rfam family: Bacterial small subunit ribosomal RNA
Source: RNAcentral